Molecule: ribosomal RNA, 225 nt
Filed under: uncultured Thorsellia sp.
Lineage: Bacteria; Pseudomonadati; Pseudomonadota; Gammaproteobacteria; Enterobacterales; Thorselliaceae
Description: partial 16S ribosomal RNA
Rfam family: Bacterial small subunit ribosomal RNA
Source: RNAcentral
CGUGUAGGUGGUUGACUAGGUUUGAUGUGAAAUCCCCGGGCUUAACGUGGGCAUUGCAUUUGAAACUAUGUAGCUAGAGUUCUGUAGAGGGGGGUAGAAUUCCAGGUGUAGCGGUGAAAUGCGUAGAGAUCUGGAGGAAUACCGAUUGCGAAGGCAGCCCCCUGGACAGUGACUGACGCUCAUAUGCGAAAGCGUGGGGAUCAAACAGGAUUAGAUACCCCGGUA